Molecule: ribosomal RNA, 433 nt
Filed under: uncultured bacterium
Lineage: Bacteria
Description: partial 16S ribosomal RNA
Rfam family: Bacterial small subunit ribosomal RNA
Source: RNAcentral
AACGAACGCUGGCGGCAUGCCUAACACAUGCAAGUCGAACGAGACCUUCGGGUCUAGUGGCGCACGGGUGCGUAACGCGUGGGAACCUGCCCUUAGGUUCGGAAUAACUCCCCGAAAGGGGUGCUAAUACCGGAUAAUGUCUUCGGACCAAAGAUUUAUCGCCUUUGGAUGGGCCCGCGUUGGAUUAGCUAGUUGGUAGGGUAAAAGCCUACCAAGGCGACGAUCCAUAGCUGGUCUGAGAGGAUGAUCAGCCACACUGGGACUGAGACACGGCCCAGACUCCUACGGGAGGCAGCAGUGGGGAAUAUUGGACAAUGGGCGAAAGCCUGAUCCAGCAAGGCCGCGUGAGUGAUGAAGGCCUGAGGGUUGUAAAGCUCUUUUACCCGGGAUGAUAAUGACAGUACCGGGAGAAUAAGCACCGGCUAACUCCGUG